This 3360-nucleotide long non-coding RNA is filed under the name Setaria italica (foxtail millet). RNAcentral describes it as "long non-coding RNA (SITA_LNC003525)". Lineage: Eukaryota; Viridiplantae; Streptophyta; Magnoliopsida; Poales; Poaceae. The record is from RNAcentral.
UUAAUUAGUUUGCUCAAUUCUGAUCAGAAAUGAUCAAGCGUUCUGUCAAUGCUCUAGGUUGGGAAUGCGGUAAUUGACGAUUACCAUGACUACAUUGGCACAUUUGAGUACUGGUGGACGCAUGGGCUUAUCUCCGAUGAAACCUAUCAGAAGUUGCGGUUGGCCUGUGAAUUUGAUUCAGCAGAGCACCCCUCUAAGGAGUGCAACAAGAUCAAUGAUAUUGCUGAAGCAGAGCAUGGGAGUAUUGACGCAUACAGCAUCUACACGCCCACUUGUAAGAAGACUUCACUUCAUAAGCGCAGGCAAAUAAGGGGAAGAACGGUAUGUUUGCUUUGAUACAAAAACUUUAAAAGACAUUUUUCUGAUAGCUGCUGGUAGUACUGUACGUUCCCUAGGUUCUUUUGACCAUCGUCCAUCAUGUGAAUAUUUACUGAACUAUUCGCACACUUCUGAGAGUGUAAUAUUUCAUCUAUCUCCUAACUACAUUUUUUUUUUCAAAUGUAGCCCUGGUUGCCGAGAGGAUAUGAUCCCUGCACCGAAAAGUACUCCGAAAAGUACUACAACUUACCCGAGGUGCAGAAAGCUUUACAUGCCAAUGUCACUGGAAUACCGUAUGCCUGGGUAGCCUGCAGGUCUGUUCUGCUGGUUUGGUCUUGUUUUGAUCACAACUAUUUCGUUUGGCCAACCAAUAAAGCUGCCUGUUCUUUAAUAUUAUGGACUAAACACCACUGCUUAUAUGCAGUGAUCCAAUUUAUGACUACUGGAAAGAUUCACCGAAGUCCAUGCUUCCUAUUUAUCGUGAACUUAUCGCGGCAGGCAUAAGGAUAUGGGUCUUCAGGUACGUUGAAUUUCUGGUGUGUAACAUGGUGCUGACUGAAUUCUAAAUCUCUGAGAAAAAAAAGGCAUCAUAGUGUUUGACAUAACAAAUCAUGAUAAAUUGAUAAUCAUACAAUGGGGGUGGUACCGUAAUUUGACCUGGUAAAUCAGUGUGGAUAAUCUCUUACAUUGGACGAUUUUGGCAGUGGUGAUGCUGAUUCCGUUGUCCCCCUCACCGCGACAAGAUACUCCAUUGAUGCGCUCUCUCUACCAACAGUGACAAACUGGUAUCCUUGGUAUGACAAUGGAGAGGUUAGUCAGCGUCACUAAUACGGCAACAAUGACCGAUUAACUAUCUUCCCUAGUUUCAAAGCUACUUUUCUAAUGGCAUGGAUCUUGCUCAGGUUGGUGGAUGGUGCCAAGUGUACAAGGGCUUGACACUGGUAACAGUCCGCGGUGCAGGGCACGAGGUUGCCCUCCACCGUCCACGGCAAGGCCUGAAGCUAUUCGAGCACUUCCUGCGCGAUGAGCCCAUGUCCAAGGCUGUAGAUAGCAUUCAAACGUUUUAGAAUGUGCUAUCUCGAUUGAUGGAGAAGAAAAAACAGGCUGCGUCAAGCCAUGUAGUUGUAAAAGCCAUGGUGAACGCAUUUCGCCUGCGCAAUAAAUCGACGUCGAUCGGCCGUCACAUCUUUGCCUUUCGGAUUUCUUGCGUACAUGCAAUUCCUUUCCAGAGGAACGGCAAAAACUACGAAAUUCCUGCAAAAAAAUCCUUCGAUCCAAACAGGGCAAAUUCGCAAUGUAGUUUCGUUUCAAGCUGCACGAGAACAUGUGUACCAAUCACGAUUCGUCUCGGACUGCGCUAGGCAAGGUAGCACAGCAGCAUUCCCAUUCGGCCAUUCCACGCCUUCCACGCUUCCCCGAAUCCUCAGCUACCACCAUUCCGUUCCAUUCCAUUGGCUCCCCACUCCAAGACCACCCCUCCAUUUGCUCUGCUGCUCUUAUCCAAUCAGCGCUCCUCCAUUGACCCACCGCGAGCGCCAAAUCGCCAAUGGCGGCCGCCGCGGCCGCGGCCCUGGCCGCCGUACUGGCGCUGUCCUGCUGUAACGUCGCGUCGGCCACGGCGGAGGCGGAGGCGGACCGCAUCGCGAGCCUGCCGGGGCAGCCGCCGGUCAACUUCUCCAUGUACUCCGGGUACGUCACCGUCGACGCGGCCGCGGGGCGGGCGCUCUUCUACUGGCUCAUCGAGGCGGCCGGCGUGCCCCCGGAGUCCGCGCCGCUCGUGCUCUGGCUCAACGGCGGGCCCGGGUGCUCCUCCGUCGGCUACGGCGCAUCGGAGGAGCUUGGCGCCUUCCGGAUCAACGCCGACAGCAGGUCGCUCUCCAGGAACCCCUACCCCUGGAACAAAGGUCCGAUUUUUCUGGGGGGCCUUUCUAUUCGCACUCGGCUACUCUGUUCAGUUCUGAUGUGUAGCUUGUUUGUCAUGGUGAUAUGAUGAUUGGCUGGUUGGGUCGCAGUGGCGAACAUGCUGUUCUUGGACUCGCCGGCCGGCGUCGGCUACUCCUACUCCAACACCACCACCGAUCUGUACACUGCCGGUGACAACAAGACAGGUGAAUUUGGGGAUUAAUUUAGCUACUACUUGUCUAAUUCUGCUAUUACAUUUAUUCAUUCCUCUGUUGCUAUUUUGAGCUCUUACGGGUGCUUCCUGCUGAUGCUGUUCUGCAGCCCAUGACUCGUACACUUUCUUGGUGAAUUGGUUGGAGCGGUUUCCACAAUACAAGCAACGCGAUUUCUACAUCACAGGAGAGAGCUACGGAGGUGAAUUGCUAUCAAAAUUGGUCAACUGUAGCAGAAAGAUUAUGCAAAACGUUAUCCAGUGAUCAUAUUUACAUUCCUCGGGCCUAAUUUGUUGCAAUGACUGCUUUUCAGGUCACUAUGUGCCUCAGUUGUCUCAGCUAGUAUACCGGAACAACAAAGGAGUUAAAAAGCCUGUCCUGAACCUCAAAGGCUUCAUGGUCAGAUCUUCUUAACUCUUAAGCUCAUUUUUUAUAAUGCUCUCUUGAUUGGUUCACUCAUUUCUGGUCAGAAAUGAUCGAGUGUUCUGUCAAUGCUUCUAGGUUGGAAAUGCGGUGAUUGACGACUACCAUGACUACAUUGGCACAUUUGAGUACUUGUGGACGCAUGGGCUUAUCUCAGAUGAAACCUAUGAGAAGUUGCGGUUGACCUGUGAGUUUGAAGUAUCUGAGCACCCGUCGAAGGAAUGUGAGAAGAUUUUAGAAGUUGCUUCGGCUGAGCAAGGGAAGAUUGAUACAUACAGCAUCUAUACUCCUACUUGUAAGAAGACUUCGCUGCAUAGGCACAGGCUAAUAAGAGGAAGAACGGUAUGCUUGCUUUGCUACCAAAACAUGACAUUUAUAACUGAAUUUUCCCUAGAUUAUUUUGACAAUUGUGCAACUACUUACUGUAUAUCACAUUUGUGAAAGUGUAAUAUCUUAGUGAAGCAAAAUAGUUCGUGUAUCUGCUAACAACACAUUUCUUCAAUUG